AACGAACGCUGGCGGCAGGCUUAACACAUGCAAGUCGAACGCAUCCUUCGGGGUGAGUGGCAGACGGGUGAGUAACGCGUGGGAACGUGCCCUUCAGUUCGGGAUAACCCAGGGAAACUUAGGCUAAUACCGGAUACGUGCGAGAGCAGAAGGAUUUAUCGCUGAAGGAUCGGCCCGCGUCUGAUUAGCUAGUUGGUGGGGUAAUGGCCCACCAAGGCGACGAUCAGUAGCUGGUCUGAGCGGAUGAUCAGCCACAUUGGGACUGAGACACGGCCCAAACUCCUACGGGAGGCAGCAGUGGGGAAUAUUGGACAAUGGGCGCAAGCCUGAUCCAGCCAUGCCGCGUGAGUGAUGAAGGCCUUAGGGUUGUAAAGCUCUUUCGUCCGGGACGAUAAUGACGGUACCGGAAGAAGAAGCCCCGGCUAACUUCGUGCCAGCCGCCGCGGUAA
RNAcentral lists this ribosomal RNA (449 nucleotides) under uncultured bacterium. Its description in RNAcentral is "partial 16S ribosomal RNA". It matches the Rfam family "Bacterial small subunit ribosomal RNA", at positions 29 to 523 of the family's 1533-position model. The record is from RNAcentral.